UUUUUUUUUUUUUUUAAUUUAGUUAAUAGGAUGAUUUCUGGUAGAUUCCAUUCCAUCAAUACACCUGCUUAAUGAAUUGAUAUGGAUUUGCCUUUUCUUUUUUGUAAUUUUAGCCCAGGAAUUGGCUUUUGAUAUUGUUAUAUGUUAACAUUACUUCAUUUUGGUUUUGAAUACAUUGUAAUUUUAUCGGAUAUUGAUACAUGCCAAUACAGAGCUUAGUUGGAUGAUAAUG
This 232-nucleotide unclassified non-coding RNA is filed under the name Hevea brasiliensis (rubber tree). The record is from RNAcentral. Lineage: Eukaryota; Viridiplantae; Streptophyta; Magnoliopsida; Malpighiales; Euphorbiaceae.